Non-coding RNA from Xiphophorus maculatus (southern platyfish), 81 nucleotides. NCBI's taxonomy places the organism in Eukaryota, Metazoa, Chordata, Actinopteri, Cyprinodontiformes, Poeciliidae. The record is from Rfam.
CACUGCCUGACACUCUUUCCCUGUUGCACUACUGUGGGAGCUGCAGCAAGCAGUGCAAUAAUGAAAGGGCAUCAAUCAGUG